This is a non-coding RNA of Ailuropoda melanoleuca (giant panda), 83 nucleotides long. NCBI's taxonomy places the organism in Eukaryota, Metazoa, Chordata, Mammalia, Carnivora, Ursidae. The record is from Rfam.
GCCUGGUUGGCACAGCGGUUAAGCGUCUGCCUUCGGCUCAGAGCAUGAUCCCGGCGUUAUGGGUUCGAGCCCCACAUCAGGCU